GCCCAGACUCCUACGGGAGGCAGCAGUGGGGAAUAUUGCACAAUGGGGGAAACCCUGAUGCAGCGACGCCGCGUGAGCGAUGAAGUAUUUCGGUAUGUAAAGCUCUAUCAGCAGGGAAGAAGAUGACGGUACCUGACUAAGAAGCCCCGGCUAACUACGUGCCAGCAGCCGCGGUAAUACGUAGGGGGCAAGCGUUAUCCGGAUUUACUGGGUGUAAAGGGAGCGUAGACGGCGAUGCAAGCCGGAUGUGAAAGCCCGGGGCUCAACCCCGGGACUGCAUUUGGAACUGUGUGGCUGGAGUGUCGGAGAGGCAGGCGGAAUUCCUAGUGUAGCGGUGAAAUGCGUAGAUAUUAGGAGGAACACCAGUGGCGAAGGCGGCCUGCUGGACGAUGACUGACGUUGAGGCUCGAAAGCGUGGGGAGCAAACAGGAUUAGAUACCCCAGUAGAA
Molecule: ribosomal RNA, 449 nt
Filed under: uncultured bacterium
Lineage: Bacteria
Description: bacterial SSU rRNA
Rfam family: Bacterial small subunit ribosomal RNA
Source: RNAcentral